Epinephelus moara (kelp grouper) is the source of this 295-nucleotide long non-coding RNA. RefSeq lists it as uncharacterized. The transcript has 2 exons. The record is from RefSeq and is a predicted model, not a curated record. Lineage: Eukaryota; Metazoa; Chordata; Actinopteri; Perciformes; Serranidae.
GCAAGACAGAGACAGACAAUCAGAGAACCAGGUGGACUGACACACAGACAUCAGCUUAUUAAGUAUAAGGACACCUUGAAGUCAAAUCAUGAAAGAGGCUUUAAUUUCUCUUCUGCAAACAGGUGGAUGUUACAGGUCAGCUUAUGGGUAAGUGUAACAGGUCAGCUAACAGGUGAUUGUUACAGGUCAGCUAACAGCUAACAGGUGAGUGUAACAGGUCAGCUAACAACUAACAGGUCAGCUAACAACUAACAGGUGAGUGUAACAGGUCAGCUAACAACUAACAGGUCAGCUA